RNAcentral lists this long non-coding RNA (901 nucleotides) under Trifolium pratense (red clover). RNAcentral's name for it is "long non-coding RNA (TPRA_LNC014294)". Lineage: Eukaryota; Viridiplantae; Streptophyta; Magnoliopsida; Fabales; Fabaceae. The record is from RNAcentral.
CCAUUACGACUGUGAUUGCACUUGGUACUACAGCAGUAGCAUUGUCUUAUCUUCCAGUAGGCAGAGGAUUGUCCUCUGCAGAAGACCAUCUGGUUCCCGAACAUGAAGAUACAGCUAAGUAAUUCUCCCCAUAGUUUCUAACAGUGAAUCCUUGUUACUAAUAUACUUUAGGAGAAAAAAAUAAGUUAUACAUGCCACGAUGUGGUUAACUCAUCGCUUUGAUCAGUUACAAUUUUCUGGCAUCUGGAGUAUGUCCAUAAUCUAGUCUAGAUAUAUAAAAGAAUGUAUCUUUCACUGGAAACCAUUGUAGGUUAUUGUAGUGUUUUGAACCAUAUGAUAGAGCGAUAUUUCAUAGUAUCCUACGCGUUCGAGCCAGCUGUGUCACUUUGGCUGUAUGAUACAUCUGGCACAGUGUAUUAUAGCAUAUUGUUUAUGCCAUUUUUGAGCAUUUUUGUUUGAUCUACUUAAUGAGGUGAAUCUAUUGGGAGGUGAUGAAUAUCGAAUUUCGCCUUUUGUUUUUGUGUUGUGUCUAGUUCCCUUGGUGAACUAGCAGGUCAGUAGAAUACAAACUAUUAUAGCAAAAAAAUCGCUGACACUACUUGUAUAACUUGAUGCACUUGAGCAUUGUCGACUUUUUUUUAGGUAAGCAUUGUCAAUUGUUAUAGAAUACUAAAAUCAUCUUUAGUAGAGAUGAUAACACUGUGACGAAUAAAAAUACUAGAAGAGAUACAUUUGGGAAUAAUAACAAUAAUUGUAGUUGGUUUAUUUGAAGACGGUAGAAAGUUUCCUAGGUUUGAACGGAUCAGCAUUUGGCAAGGGCCAAUGCCCCAAGUAAGAAGACUAUGGGUUGAUGUAAGAUGAUAAUUAAAAAAUGAGAUAUUCUUUUGGGAUUUGGAUCCUC